Molecule: ribosomal RNA, 572 nt
Filed under: uncultured Glomeromycotina
Lineage: Eukaryota; Fungi; Glomeromycota
Description: SSU rRNA
Rfam family: Eukaryotic small subunit ribosomal RNA
Source: RNAcentral
UUGGAGGGCAAGUCUGGUGCCAGCAGCCGCGGUAAUUCCAGCUCCAAUAGCGUAUAUUAAAGUUGUUGCAGUUAAAAAGCUCGUAGUUGAAUUUCGGGAUUGACGUGAUGGUCAUGCCUUAAGGGGUAUGAACUGUCACAGUUGAUUUCUCACCUUCUGGAGAAACUUGAUGUCCUUUAUUGGGUGUCUUGCGGAUCCAGGACCUUUACCUUGAAAAAAUUAGAGUGUUUAAAGCAGGCAUUUUUGCUCGAAUACAUUAGCAUGGAAUAAUAGAAUAGGACGGCAUGGUUCUAUUUUGUUGGUUUCUAGGAUCACCGUAAUGAUUAAUAGGGAUAGUUGGGGGCAUUAGUAUUCAAUUGUCAGAGGUGAAAUUCUUGGAUUUAUUGAAGACUAACUACUGCGAAAGCAUUUGCCAAGGAUGUUUUCAUUAAUCAAGAACGAAAGUUAGGGGAUCGAAGACGAUCAGAUACCGUCGUAGUCUUAACCAUAAACUAUGCCGACUAGGAAUCAGACGAUGUUAACUUUUUAAUGACUCGUUUGGCACCUUGCGGGAAACCAAAGUGUUUGGGUUC